This 253-nucleotide ribosomal RNA is filed under the name uncultured bacterium. RNAcentral's name for it is "partial 16S ribosomal RNA". It matches the Rfam family "Bacterial small subunit ribosomal RNA", at positions 524 to 776 of the family's 1533-position model. The record is from RNAcentral.
UACGUAGGGGGCAAGCGUUGUCCGGAUUUAUUGGGCGUAAAGAGCGUGUAGGCGGCCAUGUAGGUCCGUUGUGAAAACUCGAGGCUCAACCUCGAGACGCCGAUGGAAACCAUGUGGCUAGAGUCCGGAAGAGGAGAGUGGAAUUCCUGGUGUAGCGGUGAAAUGCGCAGAUAUCAGGAAGAACACCCGUGGCGAAGGCGGCUCUCUAGUACGGUACUGACGCUGAGACGCGAAAGCGUGGGGAGCAAACAGG